UCCGCGUUCAAAGGAUCGCAUUCAAAGCUCACGCACAGUAAGCGACUCUUCUCUCUCACGGGAGAACAGUAUGUCUUGCAUACCACAGGUUCCUUGACUGGACCAGCUUUGGGAGAAAGUCCCCGGACCACCUGACUUCUUCUCUUCCAGGAAGAAUCAUCAGGACUUGCCGAAAGGCGCCGCCAUAAAAGCACAUUCACAGCGGCUGAUCACACGCCUCCCCCUCUUCCUCAAAAGGCCCAUUCCUCUUCGUCAGCCUCGACCUUGACGUCGUUUGUACUCAUCCUUUUCAUCUCGGCGUCCAUAGUAUCUCUUUCCUACGUCGAGGCAGUAUCUGGACGGAUGAUGAUAUGAGUCUGUUCCUUGGGCUUUCGGGCUAGGUUCUACCAACACUGUGGGAUUGGGGUCCGGGCAACGAAUGCUUACAAUGAAGAGACGUCGAGGGAUGACUGGAGGCGGAAGAGAUGGUGUCCUGUGGGGGUCCAAGAGUGGCUUGGAGGUUGCGCAAUUCGUCACAUGCACAUAGUUAUGCGAUUACUCGGUCAGAAUCUCCUUGUGAGUUUCUGUUUAUCGGGUAACUCGACGGGGCUUAUUCUUGAAACGCGG
RNAcentral lists this RNase MRP RNA (606 nucleotides) under Exophiala mesophila. RNAcentral describes it as "RNase MRP". It matches the Rfam family "RNase MRP". Rfam says of the family: RNase MRP is an enzymatically active ribonucleoprotein with two distinct roles in eukaryotes. In mitochondria it plays a direct role in the initiation of mitochondrial DNA replication. In the nucleus it is involved in precursor rRNA processing, where it cleaves the internal transcribed spacer 1 between 18S and 5.8S rRNAs. Lineage: Eukaryota; Fungi; Ascomycota; Eurotiomycetes; Chaetothyriales; Herpotrichiellaceae. The record is from Rfam by way of RNAcentral.